Molecule: non-coding RNA, 111 nt
Organism: Podarcis lilfordi (Lilford's wall lizard)
Lineage: Eukaryota; Metazoa; Chordata; Lepidosauria; Squamata; Lacertidae
Source: the annotation of a GenBank genome assembly
GCUUUUACUGUUCCCAAACAUCAACUGUUUCCUCUUUCAUGUUGCCACUGGAUUUAAUGGUGGAAAUGGGGAUGAAAGAUGAAACAGCUGAUGUUUGGGAACAGUAAAAGC